Molecule: long non-coding RNA, 1579 nt
Filed under: Sus scrofa (pig)
Lineage: Eukaryota; Metazoa; Chordata; Mammalia; Artiodactyla; Suidae
Description: lncRNA (ENSSSCG00070009035.1)
Source: RNAcentral
UUAUCACUAUCUUAUUCUCUAUUGUUUUCAACAAUUCUCUGGGUCAAAAACUACUCCACAGUGAGGUCCAUUUAAAUUCACAUGUCUUUGAAGGGGUAGUUUUUGAAGCUAGGCUUUGAGAUUUGUUCUGGACCUCAAGAAUGUUCUUCUUAGUUAUCUCUUUCUCUGGUUCUCCCUGGUGAACUAGCUGGCCUAGGAUUUAGUUUGUUGCUCUCAAGGACCUACUAGCCCCAUCUUUAUUUUAUUUCUUUUUAAAUUAUAGUUGACCCUCUUUAUUUCUUAUCACUAAAAUCUCCAUGGUUCUAAAGAGUGCCAUUAGGCUUGAACUCCCCUCUAUCUGUCUGUUCUAAACAAAGUCAAUUCCAUGGGAAAGGUUUGGGCUCUUUGUUCUACCUCUUACACUUGGUCAAAAUCUUCAAGAUCCUCUCCAGAGCAGGAGCUGCAGUCCUUUAUGAGCAGAUCACUCAGCAGGGGCCAUAGCAUCUAGUCUUCUCAACUAGUCAAUUUUCUCAGAGUGGAAACUCUGCCAAAAAAGUGAGGUGGGGUGAGAUGAAGUAGGGCCCCAAUUCCUGGCCUGCCACACCUGCAGUACAGGCUCCACCCUAUGAUAGGGAACUGGGUGGAGGAAACCUCCUCCCCAACUUCUUAGAACAUAGCCUCUGCAAUAGAAGGCUUUAGGGGAAUGAGAAGUACUGCAGUCCUGCACAACUUGCACUACCACAGCCCUCACCAGAGAACUGGGGCAGGGGGUUAGGAAGAGGGAGACAGGAAUCUUGCAUUCUAGUUUAUAUUGACUCAUGUUGACCUGGGGCACUGAGGGCAUAGGGGGGAGGAAGUAGGUUGUGCUCAAAUACCACAGCUUGCCACUGUUCUUACUGAGAUUUAAUAUAUAUUCUUGAAUAAAUGUUGUUGUUGAUUAUUAGCUGUAUGUCCCUAGGAAAAUUUUCAGAGGUUUUAAAUAAUUUGCUUUUUUAUAGGGAACAGAUCUGCGGAGCCUGUCACAUCACCAUUUUGGAAGUGGGUCACCUAUUUAACUCAUGUUCAGUGUUAUAGAGGGCAGUUAAGAAAAAGAGACAUUUCUACCUUUCAUGGAUAAAACACAUUGCAGAUCUCGGGAGAACCCAGGUGAUGGUUGGCACAGGAAGAGCACCAUCAGUGGCCCAGAGAUGAGGAAACCUGACAUGGCAUGACCAUCAGAACCAUGUGAUACCCAGCAGAGAGUCUUCCUCUCAUGAAGGUUCAUAGCACAGGAUGCCUGAAGGGGCAGAGAACCUGACAAAGAAAGUGGUACCUGCUCCAUGGUGGCAGAAGUGACUUGUUUGUGGGCCCACUUGAGACACACCUAGAGAACUCCCCGGAAUAGGAAAGAGACUGAAAGAGAAGCUGGAUUUCCAUGAAAUUUUUUGGUCUGACUAGAGCCAAAGGAAAAAAAAAAAAUGUAUGUCACCAAAUCUUAACCCUACCUUGAUUUAAGACUAAAUAUCUAUAGAACUGGGGCUGUGAUUCAAAUUAUAAAAGGAAUAGAAUGCAGUAACACAGUUGAAGUGUGGAGAAAAAGAAAUUAAUGGGAUUUAGAAUA